GACGAACGCUGGCGGCGUGCUUAACACAUGCAAGUCGAGCGGUAAGGCCCUUUCGGGGGUACGACGAGCGGCGAACGGGUGAGUAACACGUGGGUGACCUGCCCUCAGCUCUGGGAUAAGCCUGGGAAACCGGGUCUAAUACUGGAUAUGACUCCAUGACGCAUGUUGUGGGGUGGAAAGCCUUGUGCGGCUGAGGAUGGGCCCGCGGCCUAUCAGCUUGUUGGUGGGGUGANGGCCUACCAAGGCGACGACGGGUAGCCGGCCUGAGAGGGCGACCGGCCACACUGGGACUGAGACACGGCCCAGACUCCUACGGGAGGCAGCAGUGGGGAAUCUUGCGCAAUGGGCGAAAGCCUGACGCAGCGACGCCGCGUGAGGGAUGACGGCCUC
Molecule: ribosomal RNA, 390 nt
Filed under: uncultured bacterium
Lineage: Bacteria
Description: bacterial SSU rRNA
Rfam family: Bacterial small subunit ribosomal RNA
Source: RNAcentral